RNAcentral lists this ribosomal RNA (459 nucleotides) under uncultured bacterium. RNAcentral's name for it is "partial 16S ribosomal RNA". It matches the Rfam family "Bacterial small subunit ribosomal RNA", at positions 338 to 795 of the family's 1533-position model. The record is from RNAcentral.
CCUACGGGAGGCAGCAGUGAGGAAUAUUGGUCAAUGGUCGGGAGACUGAACCAGCCAAGCCGCGUGAGGGAGGAAGGUACAGAGUAUCGUAAACCUCUUUUGUCAGGGAACAAAGACUGGGACGCGUCCCCGGAUGAGUGUACCUGAAGAAAAAGCAUCGGCUAACUCCGUGCCAACAGCCGCGGUAAUACGGAGGAUGCGAGCGUUAUCCGGAUUUAUUGGGUUUAAGGGGUGCGCAGGCGGUCUGUUAAGUCAGCGGUAAAAGCCCGGGGCCAAACCCCGGCGCGCCGUUGAAACUGGCAGUCUUGAGAUGGCGAGAAGUAUGCGGAAUGCGCGGUGUAGCGGUGAAAUGCAUAGAUAUCGCGCAGAACUCCGAUUGCGAAGGCAGCAUGCCGGCUCCACACUGACGCUGAGGCACGAAAGCGUGGGUAUCGAACAGGAUUAGAUACCCCAGUAGUC